AUGACCGGGGGCUGUGCUCCUGAAUCUAGGAACAUAUUGGCUGCGGCUACUCCAUCGCCGCUUUCUCCGCCUCCACUCGCGGGCCUCCUCCCGGGCUGCCCCUCCUCCGCCCCCGCGGCCCCGCCCCCGUCCUCUCCUCGGCGCGACACCGUUGCCGCCCCCAGACCCUUCCCCGUUGCUGGUUGCUGUCUCUCCCGCACGCAGCCUUGUGAACAAGCCCCAGCGGGCCGAGCAGACGAGGAGCAAAGGAGCGAGCGGAGAGAGAGGAGUAGGCAGCGGCCGUCGACAGCACCUGGCGGAAAGGCGGCGGAGCAGACGCACAUCCCAGCGGUGGUGCGGUAGUAAGUUGCUUGCUGGGAGGUUUCACAUGGAUUGACCAUUACUUGGCAUUAAGUUGUUCUUCAAUGGCGUAUUUCAUGGAUUUACGGGCUUUCAUCCUGCGUACACAUGUCUUGAAGCUUUAUAGACAGGCAUUGCGUAUCACUCACCGAGCCCCGGUACAUGCUCGAGAUGAGUUGAGGCAGACCGCAAGGGCCGAGUUUGAGAAAUAUCGCCAUUGUGAUGACAAACAAAAGAUUAGGUUUUUGAUUAGUGAAGGGAAGCAGAGACUAAAAGGUCUUGAUGAACUGCUUGACAUGACAGGGAACAGCUAAUCUGAGUUGCAUCUUUGUCUUUGCUUCUGCAAUCAGCUCGCUCCAGAAACCAUUCCUGAUAUGUAAACAACUACAUUGUUUGAAAAAAAAAUGUUUUGAUAAGGAACAACACUAUAUGAACAAUUUUUUGUGCCUUUUUUAUAAUAAUAUAAUGUGAAUGUUUUCCAUAAUCCAUGCUGAAAAAUUCUGUGAUUGCUUAAGUAGGCCUAGAAUAUGUGGUUCUCAGAAAAUAUACCCUUUUCAAGGCUUUUGGACUACUGCAGCUACAAUCUAUAAAGACAAAUACUAUAGAAACAGUAGAAGCGGGUACGGAUUAAAGCCAACCGAACAGAUACGAACGGUAUCCGGUGACAUGUCUCGUAUGUAUUUAGGGUAUGUUUGGUUCUACUUUUGAAACUGCUUCUAGUUGAAUCAAAGGGUUCAACUUUUCUGCGGGUACAUUAAAAAGGGUGCUUUUCUGUAGUACAAAUUUGGAAGCUGCUUGGACCCUACUUUUAUUCUACUUUUAUUGCUUAUCGAAGUUCGUUAUAUUAAUAAACAGAUACAAUAAAUUGAAACUAAAAUAAGAUUAAAACAAUUAAGUGUUAUAAUAAAUGAAAUAAAAUAUUUUUAAUAAAAAAUAUUAUAAAUGGAAUUAAACAAUUAUUUAUUUAUAAAAAAUAUUAGGAACACAAAUAUAAAAUCAAUUAUUUAAUUAAAUAUAUUGAUUAAGAGAUAUAUUUGAACAGAGUGUAUAUAAACAAUAUACAAUUUGUUUAUGGUGGACAACUCACAGCAGUUUGAAUCAAAUGACUUUUAACUUUUUUCACAUCAGUUUUUUCGCUAUAAGCAAAUGACUUUUAACUUUUUUUCACAGUAGAUAGCUCACAACAGUUUUUUCACCGCUCAUAGCUAAAUCAAACACAUUCUUAAUCUUGUAAUUUCUUAGAACUCAUGAUAUCCAAUAAGAGUGUGUUUGUUUGGAGAGCAGAAGAGAGUGGAGCCGCUCGGCUCAUAUUUUCUAGUGUUUGGUUACGAGUCGACCAAGAGCACAGCGAUUCUUAGAAUCUCAAGAUGCCAAAAUACGUUCGAUUCCCAGGAUGAGCCCGCUCGGUAAAAUCGAACGGACGUGAGCACUCCCGUUCUCUUGCGCGAUCGGGCUAGCCUCCCUCUGCUUCGUUCUCUCCCGCGUGGUCGGCGGUCCAACCUCCCUCUCCUCCAUCCCGCCGCCGUCGUGAGGAGCUUCGUCGUCGUUCGUGCCGCACCUCUUCUCCUUCCUAACCACCCCACCGGUAGACCUGUUUCUACUUCUGCUGCCGCCUCUUUUUUCCAUGCUGCCACAUAUCUGCCUUGUCCGCUCCUCCCUUCGCUAAAUCUGCCAUGUCCGCUCCUCCCUUCACCAGGUCUGCCUUGUCUGCUCCUUCCUUCACGCUAGAUUAGAGGCAGCAACACACUAUUGGGCUCCGCCAUUCAACGACAUUCAGCAGCACGCCACUGUCGCCUAGGGAAGGAGUAGUAGGAGUCAACGACAACAUGUAUGAGUAGGCUCCAGUGCCAGGCUUCCAUUUAAGGCUGGCUCUGCCACUGGGGAAAGGUGCGGAGGCAGGAGGAGCAGCACACUACUGCUAUUGGUGUGUUCUUCUUGGUCCGUUUGGUUUUCAAGUGUUAAAAUUUGAUCAUAUUGGUACCGGGAUCAGCUCCGGACCUGAUACCAUGUGCUGGUACUGGUGGAAGGCCAUGCAUCAUGCCUCCAAUAAUUUUCUUGUUCAUUCCAGUUGCUAGUGUUCAUAACUAUUUGUGUGUAGUGUGUUCAUAUUUGUGCUCAUAACAUGCUAGUGUUCAUAACCCAGUCUUAUUUGUGUGCAGUGUGUUCAUAACAUGCUUAUUUGUGUGCAGUCUUAUUUGUGAAGCAGGUGUAAUCAUGCAGUGUGUUUGCACAAAGACUUUGAGAACUGAAGCAUAGGAAAGUAGGCCAGCAGAAGGCAAGUUCUACCUAAUUGACGCCAAAUAUGGAGCUAAACCAGGAUUUUUGCCUGCUUUUCGUGGUGUACGAUACCACUUGAAUGAGUGGGGGCAACAAUCUUGUUCAAAAUGAGAAGGAAUUAUUCAAUCAUAGGCACUCAUCUCUAAGAGUUUCAGUAGAGUGGACAUUUUAUUCAUUGAAGCGAAGAUUUAAAAUUCUUGAUGAUGCUACACCAUUCUUUCCCUUCUCUACAAAAGUAGAAAUUGUGGUUGCGUGUUGUAUUAUUCACAACUGGGUUAUACAAGAUGGAGGAGAUGAAUUUACCAUUCCUGAGAGUGAGAAAUUGCCUACCAUUAAUCAUCAAACAUCUUCGCAUGGACAAGCAAUGAAACAUGCCAUUAUGGUUAAUCUCAGGCAGGAACUAGCUAAUGCUAUGUGGGAAGACUAUAAUGCAAACACUAUUUGAUUGUUAUUUAUUUUCCAUUGUUAUGUGACAAGAUGUAUGGACAUGUAUCUUUUAUUCGUAUGGACAUGUAUCUUCCUGAAA
Long non-coding RNA from Zea mays, 3142 nucleotides. RefSeq lists it as uncharacterized. Lineage: Eukaryota; Viridiplantae; Streptophyta; Magnoliopsida; Poales; Poaceae. The record is from RefSeq and is a predicted model, not a curated record. The transcript has 4 exons.